UACGAAGGGGGCUAGCGUUGUUCGGAAUCACUGGGCGUAAAGGGUGCGCAGGCGGGCAUUUAAGUCAGGGGUGAAAUCCCGAGGCUCAACCUCGGAACGGCCUUUGAUACUGGAUGUCUUGAGUCCGGAAGAGGUGAGUGGAACUGCGAGUGUAGAGGUGAAAUUCGUAGAUAUUCGCAAGAACACCGGUGGCGAAGGCGGCUCACUGGUCCGGAACUGACGCUGAGGCACGACAGCGUGGGGAGCAAACAGG
RNAcentral lists this ribosomal RNA (253 nucleotides) under uncultured bacterium. Its description in RNAcentral is "partial 16S ribosomal RNA". It matches the Rfam family "Bacterial small subunit ribosomal RNA", at positions 524 to 776 of the family's 1533-position model. The record is from RNAcentral.